UUGAGCCGUAUCAGGAAUGCUGCAAGAAUGCUUCUGACUUUAGAUGAGAAAGACCCACGUCGUAUUUUUGAAGGUGAAGCACUCUUGAGGAGGAUGAAUAGAUAUGGGUUAUUGGAUGAGAGCCAGAACAAGCUCGAUUACGUCUUGUCUCUCACUGUGGAGAACUUUCUUGAACGCCGUCUUCAAACCCUUGUCUUCAAGACUGGCAUGGCUAAGUCAAUCCACCAUGCUAGAGUACUAAUUAGGCAAAGGCAUAUCAGGUAAAAUUCAUUGCCACUAAAAAUUUAUUUCCAGUUUUAGUUUCAAAGUUCAAAUGAGUAGGCUUAAUCUGUUUUUUCCUGAUAUUUGCUGUGUCUGAGUGUAUGGUAGCGGGACAGCUAAGCGAAUAUUUUUUUAGAGUUACCUGCUAUGGAAUAUGUGGCAUUUAUAAAAUGUUUGAUAGUCCAACAUUUUAAAAUCUAGCAACUGAUCUAGCCUUUGAUUACACCUUUUGAGGGACCGUUGUGAUGAGAUUUUUUUAUUGAGAUUCCUUGUAAAAGAAUCAUUUAUCACAGAUUUUUUUGCUAAAGAACCUUAAUAUAAACAUGAUGUUCGGGUGAUAAUUAUUUUUGUAGAUGUGCUUUUAUCGAAGGUGCUGGUUGAGGUCUUGGCUUUUCCUUUUCAAGUGCUCUACUGAACACUUGACUUUUUCUUUAGAGAAGUGCUUUUGACCUAAUGGUUACAGAAUAUAUCCUAAAAGCUCACCAAGAUGCCUUAACAAUGGAAUGAAAAUUCUUAUGAAGCUUCUGAGCCUCAUUUCAUAGGAUUGUUUCUUUUAACAGUGAGGUCGUUAUUUGGAAGCACUAUGCAAUGCAAAUAAUCUGUGAUCCGAUUUUCUCACAGUGAAUUAUUGAGGAGCAGUUGUCAGAAUAAUAUCUCAACAAGAAGAUAUUAUCUGUUUUAGAGUUAUUUUUGCUUCCUAAUUAAGGAAUCUGAUUAAAAUAUCUAGACUGUUUUCUUGAGAAGCUCUUGUUUAUUCACUCACUGUAAGUUUGUUGAUGCUUCUCAAAAUGGUUUGAGUUUCUAGGUGUUCGUAGAAGCUUAUUGUGUAGUUAUUAAACUUCAGCUGGUAGAUUUUUUUAUCUAGCUAGAGGAAGAAUGUGUUGGUUGUGUCAUUUAUUGCAUUAUUUGUGAGUGUUCCUUCCAAUAUCAUGUACUCAGUACCUUUUACAAAGUAGUAGUCUAUGUAUUAUUUGUUCUGUUAUUUAGUACUGAUUUGAACAUUAACAACUUCCCUUGGCCUGCACAUUUUGGGUUUUCUCAGAGUUCUUUCACUGUGGGCUAGUUAUCAUUUUAUUUGUCUGGGAGAUAUAUUGCCAUGACCUAAUGUUCUUGUCAUGCAGAGUUGGUAGACAGGUGGUGAAUGUUCCUUCUUUUAUGGUGAGACUGGACUCCCAGAAGCACAUUGACUUCUCUCUCAUCAGUCCUUUCGGUGGUGGGCGCCCUGGAAGAGUGAAGAGAAAGAACCAAAAGGCUGCUGCAAAGAAGGCAUCUGGUGGCGAUGGAGACGAGGAAGAUGAAGAAUGAGCUCUUGUGUUUUUGGAUCUUAUACUUUGCCUAUUUUGUACUUUCUUGUUUUAUGUUACCGCAAAUUUUAUGUACCUUCGCCGGAGAUGAGGAAGAUGAAGAAUGAGCUCUUGUGUUUUUGGAUCUUAUACUUUGCCUAUUUUGUACUUUCUUGUUUUAUGUUACCGCAAAUUUUAUGUACCUUCGCGUGUUAGAAAUGUUUCUCAACAGAGUUUGGAAGAAUUUUGAGUUUAAAAGUUUGCACUUGUUAAGUACUUGUUAGGCUUUGGUCUAAAUUCAUUAGUGAAUCUGCCGACCCCUGGUAUUAAGAGAAGUUUGUCUUUGACGGAAUAUUAGAUUCUUCUCCCGUCAUUGGACAAUAAAUUGUUGUUUAUUUGAAUUCAUUUCUAAAAGACAAAGCGGUCGUUAGAAAAAUAACCUAGUUUUAAGUCCGGAGUCGAAUCAUCAUCUAUUAUAACUCAUACCAAUGGCUGCAAUGCUAUUACCAAUUCAAUCGAUUUCUAGAUGCAAGAUUUUGAACAACA
Molecule: long non-coding RNA, 2090 nt
Filed under: Nicotiana benthamiana
Lineage: Eukaryota; Viridiplantae; Streptophyta; Magnoliopsida; Solanales; Solanaceae
Description: long non-coding RNA (NBEN_LNC004273)
Source: RNAcentral